UACCUAAUACGGGAGGCACACGUUUGCCCGCUAGACGCGUCCAAAAAAAGAGGGUUUGAUUUUUAGCCACUACUAACUUUACACUUUGAUAAUUUAAAAUGUUUUUGCGAACCCACUUAAGUUGCAUGGUUAGAGGGAUUGUGGUAUCCCUAGCUCAUCAGGUUCAAGUCCUGGUGCUCGCAUUAUUCCUGGAUUUAUUUCAGAAUUUUUGGCGAUGCGCUUUCAGUGGGAGGAGACGUCCCGUCGACGACGAGGCGUCUAUGGUGACUUCGUAAAUCUCAAGAUAAUACACUGACUCAGUUUCUUAUUUCAGGAUUUCCGACGAUACGCUUUCAGUGGGAGUAGACGUUUCCGUCGACGACGAGGCGCCUAUGAUGACUUCGUAAAUCUUAAAAUGAUAUACUUUCUUAUUUCAGGAUUUCCGGCGAUACACUUUCAGUGGCAGGAGAUGUUCCCGUCGACGAUGAGGCGCCUACAGUAACUUCGUAAAUCUCAAGAUGAUAUGCCGGCUCAGUUUCUCAAAAAUGCUCAUAGGGAUAGGGUGUGCGUGUGUGUUCAUAGAGGUGAGCGUAUGCACGUAUGUAUGAGCGCUUGUGUCUGUACUGUGUUAAAAAAAGCUAAUUUAUAUUUUUUCCGGUGGCAGGACCGCGCGCUCCCAUGUGCCAACCCCUCUUCUCUUUGAAUCAACAUGAGGUUAAAUUUCGUGUUUUGAUCCUUUUGCCUUAGUUUAGUCAAAUCUGACCCCAGUUCGAAAUCAUUUCAGGAUCUGACCCUUUCGCUACCGCGAGGGCCCAUGAUGGUAGGGUUGAACAAGCUACCGUCGGAGACCACGAUGGUAGGGUUGAACAAGCUACCGUCGGAGACCACGAUGGUAGGGUAAUGGCAGCCUCCGUCAAACUACCGGUUGCAGCCUGACGUGUCGUAACUCCUCUAUCGCCGAGGCAGAUGGUGGUAGGUUAGCUAACAUUACCGCCACCUCCCUCAGCGGUAGGGUGUGACAGGCCUGCGCGAGCGCCAGCUUGCUGUGACAGAAAAUGCAGGUGUUUUUGCGGUAGGAUUUCACAGCCUACCGCCACCUCCCGCGGCGGUAGGCAGCCUACCGCUAGGGUACCUGACGGUAAGCUGUGAAAUCCUACCGCCGCUGCUCCUGGCAGUAGGGUCCUCUCUCCCUAAUAUUUUUACAAGAAGUUGGCAAUUUUUUUGAAUUUUUACUGUGAGGCAAAGCCCCACGGCCCUUUAUUAAAAUCAGAGGGAACUGCACAAACAGAAGGAACUAUGUACAAAAGGUAAGAAGAAAGAACCUACCUAUGCCUACCUAUAAUUACAAGAAAGUACCAAUCCAUGCAAGCAGCUUAUGUUUGUUACUAUCUUUAAACCUAUGAGCUAGAAGAGAAAUAUCAUGGAUGAAUUUACAUCUCCAGGCACUGAAAGUG
RNAcentral lists this long non-coding RNA (1433 nucleotides) under Triticum aestivum (bread wheat). RNAcentral describes it as "long non-coding RNA (TAES_LNC014341)". The record is from RNAcentral. Lineage: Eukaryota; Viridiplantae; Streptophyta; Magnoliopsida; Poales; Poaceae.